Molecule: ribosomal RNA, 301 nt
Filed under: uncultured bacterium
Lineage: Bacteria
Description: partial 16S ribosomal RNA
Rfam family: Bacterial small subunit ribosomal RNA
Source: RNAcentral
CAGUCGCCGCGGGAAUACGUAGGUGGCAAGCGUUGUCCGGAAUUAUUGGGCGCAAAGGGCUCGCAGGCGGUUUCUUAAGUCUGAUGUGAAAGCCCCCGGCUCAACCGGGGAGGGUCAUUGGAAACUGGGAAACUUGAGUGCAGAAGAGGAGAGUGGGAUUCCACGUGUAGCGGUGAAAUGCGUAGAGAUGUGGAGGAACACCAGUGGCGAAGGCGACUCUCUGGUCUGUAACUGACGCUGAGGAGCGAAAGCGUGGGGAGCGAACAGGAUUAGAUACCCCGGUAGUCCCUGUCUCUUAUAC